GGGACGAUAUAACAUAUUUUUUUUAUAUAAUUCUUUUAUUUACUUUACAAUAAUUUUAUUGCAUUAUACUUUCUGAAAAAAGCACGUGUCAUCAAACCGGACACUUUACACUUUUGCCCCAAAAAAUGACACCGAUUUUAAAACGAAAGCACGAGCUAUAGGUGGGUAUAAUAAAUGAAGUUAAUUACCGAGUCCCAGUCGGCAACAGCGAUCCUAUUAUUAAAGUGUAAAAAAAAAAAAGUGAAAGGGUCAUAACUCUGACUUUCCCCAAGCUUGGAUACAUUUGAUGAAUCUCGAGGAGUCUUUAACUCCAAUAUUUCCCACCUGUCAAGUUGCGUAAAGCUUAGUGACUCUCCCAUAAAUAAAUGCUCAAUAUGAAGAGCAUGGAUGGAACUGAAGGUGAUUAAUAUUCAUUCUUUUUACCUUAAAUUAAUAGAAUAACAAAGAAAAAACAACUCUUUUGGAGAUAUCUGCAUUCCUGGGAACUCUCUUGCUUUUAUCCAGAGUCUCCGGGUGAAUCGCUGCUUCCCUGGAGUCUCCGGGCCACUUUCCUCUUUUUCCAUGCAGAAGAGCUAAAUUCAUCCAUAUAUAUAUAUAUAUAUAUCUUUUCCCAAGUUCUGAUACUUUGUUACUCAAGGGUUCUCCAUGACGGCAGUAAUUGUACAAUUCUCCAGUCCUUUGUGUCUCGAAAAUUAAAAUACAUCUCAUAAUAAACAGAUACAGUUGCUGUGUGCGCUCCUUGUUGGCAUCGAGUGAAACAUCAGAACACUGGUUCUUUGUAGCCUAUGUUAUUCUGUUAAAUUAAUUUAAAAAAUAGCCGAUUAUUGCCUUUUACUUGACUUGACUUUCUAGCUGUACGUAUCGAGCGUUUAAUAUGUGCCUAGCAUUAAACCUUUUUUUUUUAUUUAUUUUAUAUAAAUUGUUUUGCGAAGCUGUAUUAAUAAAUGGCGAUCUGAAAUAAUAUCCUGCACCCACUUUUGACACCAGCGUGCUUUUCAGUCUAUACGGCGUAAUUUUAUAAACUUUAAAAAUGUCCGUAAAUGUGUUUAUUGUUUUUUUCAAAAUUAAAUAAAUUGUGUGCAAAGGGG
Molecule: long non-coding RNA, 1088 nt
Organism: Spea bombifrons (plains spadefoot toad)
Lineage: Eukaryota; Metazoa; Chordata; Amphibia; Anura; Pelobatidae
Exons: 2
Source: RefSeq, a predicted model, not a curated record